Molecule: non-coding RNA, 669 nt
Organism: Dermacentor albipictus
Lineage: Eukaryota; Metazoa; Arthropoda; Arachnida; Ixodida; Ixodidae
Source: RefSeq, a predicted model, not a curated record
UGGUCCCGCCCCGCGAAGCGUUUCCGCUUCCUCCCGCGCGGCCGCAGACGCGGAGCAGCUCCGAGCUCGCCCGGCCAGCCAGCGGCGGCCUGCGGAGGGAUCCCCGCGUCUCUUUCUUCUUUCGACAGUGUGGGUGUGUGCGUGCUUUUCCCCUCCCAUCGUUCUCCCGCCGCCGCACGCCGACUUCGUCCGAGGGCUGCAGCCAGCGGCAUGCGGCCGGACACCUUGCUUCCACCGCUUUUGCCCCAAAUACCGUGCCGUUGUUCGUCGUCGGUCUAGAGGAUCGACCAGCAGAAGCUGUAACAGCGACCUGCCGACAUUCCUUGCGCCCCUCCGGCACCGCCGCCAGUGGAUUUGGGCAUUCAGGUGGCCGCCAAGCCUCCCCAUUUCUCCGGCCGUGCUCACCGGCUCUCCCGAGAAGAAAGGCGGACGCGCCCCGGGCCGGUCAACGGGUGGCGGCGCGCUCGAUGGUAUUCUGUUCAUGCGGGGCUGAAGCGGCGCAUCAACAUGUGAGCAUCGCUUUCUCUCUUCCGCCAAGAACUUCCGGCAACCCUUGUGUCGUCUGCCUACGCAGUCGGACUGAUGCGCUCAGCGGUCGGUUGGCGAGUUGACUAGUCAGUGGCCGCCAUGACAUGCAGAGCGCACGACUACAAGGCUCUGCUCAAGGUG